RNAcentral lists this ribosomal RNA (429 nucleotides) under Acidobacteriota bacterium. Its description in RNAcentral is "Acidobacteria bacterium partial 16S ribosomal RNA". It matches the Rfam family "Bacterial small subunit ribosomal RNA", at positions 355 to 776 of the family's 1533-position model. The record is from RNAcentral. Lineage: Bacteria; Pseudomonadati; Acidobacteriota.
UGGGGAAUUUUGGACAAUGGGGGAAACCCUGAUCCAGCCAUCCCGCGUGUGCGAUGAAGGCCUUCGGGUUGUAAAGCACUUUUGGCAGGAAAGAAACGUCAUGGGUUAAUACCCCGCGAAACUGACGGUACCUGCAGAAUAAGCACCGGCUAACUACGUGCCAGCAGCCGCGGUAAUACGUAGGGUGCAAGCGUUAAUCGGAAUUACUGGGCGUAAAGCGUGCGCAGGCGGUUCGGAAAGAAAGAUGUGAAAUCCCAGAGCUCAACUUUGGAACUGCAUUUUUAACUACCGGGCUAGAGUGUGUCAGAGGGAGGUGGAAUUCCGCGUGUAGCAGUGAAAUGCGUAGAUAUGCGGAGGAACACCGAUGGCGAAGGCAGCCGCCUGGGAUAACACUGACGCUCAUGCACGAAAGCGUGGGGAGCAAACCGG